This 468-nucleotide ribosomal RNA is filed under the name uncultured bacterium. RNAcentral describes it as "partial 16S ribosomal RNA". It matches the Rfam family "Bacterial small subunit ribosomal RNA", at positions 28 to 507 of the family's 1533-position model. The record is from RNAcentral.
GACGAACGCUGGCGGCGUGCUUAACACAUGCAAGUCGAACGGAAAGGCCCUGCUUUUGUGGGGUGCUCGAGUGGCGAACGGGUGAGUAACACGUGAGUAACCUGCCCUUGACUUUGGGAUAACUUCAGGAAACUGGGGCUAAUACCGGAUAGGAGCUCCUGCUGCAUGGUGGGGGUUGGAAAGUUUCGGCGGUUGGGGAUGGACUCGCGGCUUAUCAGCUUGUUGGUGGGGUAGUGGCUUACCAAGGCUUUGACGGGUAGCCGGCCUGAGAGGGUGACCGGCCACAUUGGUACUGAGAGACGGCCCAGACUCCUACGGGCGGCAGCAGGGGGGAAUAUUGCACAGUGGGCGGAAGCCUGAUGCAGCAACGCCGCGUGCGGGAUGACGGCCUUCGGGUUGUAAACCGCUUUCGCCUGUGACGAAGCGUUAGUGACGGUAAUGGGUAAAGAAGCACCGGCUAACUACGUG